Molecule: ribosomal RNA, 370 nt
Filed under: uncultured organism
Description: bacterial SSU rRNA
Rfam family: Bacterial small subunit ribosomal RNA
Source: RNAcentral
CGUAGGGUGCAAGCGUUAAUCGGAAUUACUGGGCGUAAAGCGUGCGCAGGCGGUUGUGUAAGACAGAUGUGAAAUGCCCGGGCUUAACCUGGGAACUGCAUUUGUGACUGCACGGCUAGAGUUUGGCAGAGGGGGGUAGAAUUCCACGUGUAGCAGUGAAAUGCGUAGAUAUGUGGAGGAAUACCGAUGGCGAAGGCAGCCCCCUGGGUCAAGACUGACGCUCAUGCACGAAAGCGUGGGGAGCAAACAGGAUUAGAUACCCUGGUAGUCCACGCCCUAAACGAUGUCUACUAGUUGUCGGGUCUUAAUUGACUUGGUAACGCAGCUAACGCGUGAAGUAGACCGCCUGGGGAGUACGGUCGCAAGAUUA